Non-coding RNA from Paramuricea clavata, 226 nucleotides. NCBI's taxonomy places the organism in Eukaryota, Metazoa, Cnidaria, Anthozoa, Malacalcyonacea, Plexauridae. The record is from the annotation of a GenBank genome assembly.
CUCUUUUUCGCUCCACCUCUUGGUGCUACGUCAUGUAAUAUACACUAUAGUGGAUCGAUAUGACAAUGAAAGAGAGACUUGGAGCAAAUGUAGUUUAAUCCUGGCGUACGGACCAACUGGCGGCCGACAGAAGCAUACUAUUAAAAUACCUUUACUUGCAGUGUGACCAGAUGUGUGUCAGCAGAUUUUACUAAACCUUUGCAAAAAUUUUACUAAAUAGGCAAAA